Molecule: transfer RNA, 73 nt
Filed under: Camelus bactrianus (Bactrian camel)
Lineage: Eukaryota; Metazoa; Chordata; Mammalia; Artiodactyla; Camelidae
Also listed under: 2 other names
Rfam family: tRNA
About the family: Transfer RNA (tRNA) molecules are approximately 80 nucleotides in length. Their secondary structure includes four short double-helical elements and three loops (D, anti-codon, and T loops).
Source: Rfam by way of RNAcentral
GAGGGUGUAGCUCGGUGGUAGAGUGUGUGCCUAGCAAGCGCAAGGUCCUGGGUUCUAAUCCCCAGCACCUCCA